UGCAGUCGACGGUGUCUUCGGACACAGUGGCGGACGGGUGAGUAACGCGUGAGAAUCUGCCUUCAGGUCUGGGACAACCACUGGAAACGGUGGCUAAUACCGGAUGUGCCGAGAGGUGAAAGGUUAACUGCCUGAAGAUGAGCUCGCGUCUGAUUAGCUAGUUGGUAGAGUAAGAGCCUACCAAGGCGACGAUCAGUAGCUGGUCUGAGAGGAUGAUCAGCCACACUGGGACUGAGACACGGCCCAGACUCCUACGGGAGGCAGCAGUGGGGAAUUUUCCGCAAUGGGCGAAAGCCUGACGGAGCAAUACCGCGUGAGGGAGGAAGGCUCUUGGGUCGUAAACCUCUUUUCUCAGGGAAGAACACAAUGACGGUACCUGAGGAAUAAGCAUCGGCUAACUCCGUGCCAGCAGCCGCGGUAAUACGGAGGAUGCAAGCGUUAUCCGGAAUGAUUGGGCGUAAAGCGUCCGCAGGUGGCUAUGUAAGUCUGCUGUUAAAGCGUCUAGCUCAACUAGAUAAAAGCAGUGGAAACUACAAGGCUAGAGUGCGUUCGGGGCAGAGGGAAUUCCUGGUGUAGCGGUGAAAUGCGUAGAGAUCAGGAAGAACACCGGUGGCGAAAGCGCUCUGCUAGGCCGCAACUGACACUGAGGGACGAAAGCUAGGGGAGCGAAUGGGAUUAGAUACCCCAGUAGUCCUAGCCGUAAACGAUGGAUACUAGGCGUGGCUUGUAUCGACCCGAGCCGUGCCGUAGCUACGCGUUAGUAUCCCGCCUGGGGAGUACCGCACGCAGUGUGAACUCAAAGGAUGACGGGG
RNAcentral lists this ribosomal RNA (812 nucleotides) under uncultured cyanobacterium. Its description in RNAcentral is "bacterial SSU rRNA". It matches the Rfam family "Bacterial small subunit ribosomal RNA", at positions 56 to 918 of the family's 1533-position model. The record is from RNAcentral. Lineage: Bacteria; Bacillati; Cyanobacteriota.